GCUUACGGCCAUACCACUCUGACAAAGCCUGAUCUCAUCUGGCCUCGGAAGCAAAGCAGAGUUGGGCCUGGUUAGUACUUGGUUGGGAGACUGAAUGGGAAUACUAGGUGCUGUAAGCU
Ictalurus punctatus (channel catfish) is the source of this 119-nucleotide ribosomal RNA. NCBI's taxonomy places the organism in Eukaryota, Metazoa, Chordata, Actinopteri, Siluriformes, Ictaluridae. The record is from Ensembl.